RNAcentral lists this long non-coding RNA (200 nucleotides) under Elaeis guineensis (African oil palm). Its description in RNAcentral is "long non-coding RNA (EGUI_LNC056296)". The record is from RNAcentral. Lineage: Eukaryota; Viridiplantae; Streptophyta; Magnoliopsida; Arecales; Arecaceae.
CGAGCGAUUUCCGAUGAUCUUCGCCAUUUUGCUCCAGGAUUCUUUGGUAGGAAGAAGGGAGAAGGGUCUCCCCUUUAAACAAAAUUGAAGGAGAGGAGUUUGACUCCUCUCCGAUGAGGUUUCCGACUCCGAUUAGGAGCCGGUCGGGAGAAGAAGACUCCCUGCAGGAGUCUUCUUCAUUUUUUUUUUUUUGUGGGCUA